UUUCCGGUUGAUCCUGCCGGACCUGACUGCUAUCGGAUUGGUACUAAGCCAUGUGAGUCAUUGUAGCAAUACAAGGCAUACGGCUCAGUAACACGUAGUCAAUCUGCCCUAUGGACGUGGAUAACCUCGGGAAACUGAGAAUAAUCCGCGAUAGAUCAUAAUGCCUGGAACGGUUUAUGGUCCAAAUGAUUCGUCGCCAUAGGAUGGGACCGCGGCCUAUCAGCUUGUUGGUGAGGUAAUGGCCCACCAAGGCUAUUACAGGUACGGGCUCUGAGAGGAGAAGCCCGGAGAUGGGUACUGAGACACGGACCCAGGCCCUAUGGGGCGCAGCAGGCGAGAAACCUUUGCAAUGUGCGCAAGCACGACAAGGUUAAUCCGAGUGUUUCCUGCUAAAGGAAUCUUUUGUUAGUUCUAAAACCACUGAUGAAUAAGGGGUGGGCAAGUUCUGGUGUCAGCCGCCGCGGUAAAACCAGCACCUCAAGUGGUCAGGAGGAUUAUUGGGCCUAAAGCAUCCGUAGCCGGUUCUGUAAGUUUCCGGUUAAAUCCACUAGCUCAACUAAUGGGCUGCCGGAAAUACUGCAGAACUAGGGAGUGGGAGAGGUAGACGGUACUCGGGAGGAAGGGGUAAAAUCCUUUGAUCUCUUGAGGACCACCAGUGGCGAAGGCGGUCUACCAGAACACGUUCGACGGUGAGGGAUGAAAGCUGGGGGAGCAAACCGGAUUAGAUACCCGGGUAGUCCCAGCUGUAAACUAUGCAAACUCAGUGAUGCAUUGGCUUAUGGCCAAUGCAGUGCUGCAGGGAAGCCGUUAAGUUUGCCGCCUGGGAAGUACGUACGCAAGUAUGAAACUUAAAGGAAUUGGCGGGGGAGCAC
Molecule: ribosomal RNA, 872 nt
Filed under: uncultured archaeon
Lineage: Archaea
Description: bacterial SSU rRNA
Rfam family: Archaeal small subunit ribosomal RNA
Source: RNAcentral